RNAcentral lists this long non-coding RNA (1468 nucleotides) under Sus scrofa (pig). RNAcentral describes it as "lncRNA (ENSSSCG00030022778.1)". Lineage: Eukaryota; Metazoa; Chordata; Mammalia; Artiodactyla; Suidae. The record is from RNAcentral.
CGCCACACCCCACCACGCCCCACACAGCUUCACACCCUGUGUCUCAGCUCCUGAAAGUCAAUGACAUCCUGCCCCCUGUGCCAGGCCCAACAGGGCACAGAAAUGUGUCUUUGAGAGUUUGGUGCCUCAGGGGAAGUUACAUGUUCUCAUUCCAUUGUCAUCACCAGAGGAGACCAGAACCCCAAAGAGAGUGGCUACAGCAUCCCCAGAAACUUCUAGAAAGCUUUAGCAAGGAUCCCAAGGCUUCCACGUUCAACACUUAUGGAGGUAGGGAGAGGGUCCUAACCCAGAAGUUGGGCUUUCAAUUUCAAUCUCUUUCUCCUCAAAGCACUCAAAGCACCAGAAACUGCAUCUAGUAGGUUCUCAAACACACCCCAGCCCCAUCUCUCCUUACAGGCCCCCAAGCGUCAAGGACAGAUAUGCAGGAUUCCACAGAAUGGAUCAGAUGCAGAUGCUCAGACAUAAGGAACUGAAGAUAGGGAUGAGCCUGCGCAGGGUCUGGUCCAUCACAGGAGCGUCCGAUCAGACCCAACCUCUCUGUAGUCCCUAAGUGGGUGCCUGACAGCAGUCCCGCAGCUCCUCGCCUCGGCCUCCUCAAUGGAGCUUUUAAAAAGCUGGCCACCAUCCUCGGAGGGUCAACCACUUCUCUGGGGACACUUUGUCCCCGCCCUGUCCAGGCUCCCACAGAGCCUCAGGCCUGUGUCCCAGCCCUGCCACCCUCCUGGGACCCCUAUCUUCCUCCCUCUGCGUCGCCUUGUCAGCUGGAGUCCAGCUGGCAAGCAGGCUGUGCUGUGGGUCUGGCCAAGGCUUGAAGGAGGAGGAAUUUCUUCUCCACAUCCCGCUCUUGUUCACACAGCCCAGAGACCUGGAUUCAGAAUGCAGGCCAGGGAGGAGAUUCCAGAGUCCGGAUCCAGGUGGAAUGGAGGCCACAUUCACAGAGCGGGGGGUGGAGGGGGGCUGCUCUCCUCCCCCCCCCCCCCCCCCCCCCACGUAGAAGCAAGAAAAGAACGGAAAACUUCCCAGAGGCAUCCAGCAAAGGUGUCAAGGAAACAAGAGAGCAGGUCACAGCCACCAGCUCCCUGGGGACAGGCUCCGAACACAGGUCUCUGACCCGUGAGAGGCAGGAAGUUCCUCCUGAUACCUAACCUCCAUCCCCACUGGCAAAUUCCAGACCGUUUUCCUCUUGGACUGCCCUGCCUGGGGAAGAACAGCUGGGUCCCUCUCUGCACAAUAAAUGCCUUCAGACCCUGGCGACUCAUUAUUCAAGCCCCCAUCCCCUCCCCACCCCCACCCCUCUCUAGUGCGCAGGCUGAGAACCCCGGGUCCUCUGGGCCCCUUUCCAAAUGACUUCCAUCACCACCCAGCAGCUGACGUGAUAAACGGUGUGUGGGGGAGGGAUGGGAAAGACCUGGAGUGAUGGUGGGUAUUGAUCCAUCGGUGAGCGGGAGGCCUGCACUGCCUCCUGGGG